RNAcentral lists this ribosomal RNA (1218 nucleotides) under Triticum aestivum (bread wheat). RNAcentral describes it as "partial small subunit ribosomal RNA". Lineage: Eukaryota; Viridiplantae; Streptophyta; Magnoliopsida; Poales; Poaceae. The record is from RNAcentral.
AUGUCGCAAGAACUGGUGCGUACGGCAAUGGCGGCCGCGCCCGGUGAUGUUCCGCCGCCUUUGGCCACUCCUGCUCUUCUUCCGCAGGCCAAAAGGGUUAAGGAAGACCCAAGUUUUCCCCAAGCCUCGCCGGUGGUUCCGGCCAUGACGGCGGAAGACUGGUCCAAAUGGUCCACACUUCCGCCCGACCUCGUCCGCUGCAUCGGCGACUCCCUCCUGUCCACCAACGACCUCGACUGCUACAUUCACUUCCGCGCCGUUUGCCCCGGCUGGCGCGCCGCCGCCGACGACCCCAUGAGCGACACCUCCGACCCCCGCUUCCACCCGCGCCGGUGGAUCGUCCUCAACGAGGACUUCCAGAGCGAAGGGAAGCUGCUCCUGCUGAACACUGACAACGGCCGCUUCGUCCAUAGAAAGCUCCCGCUGCUCAGCGACCACUACGUCGUAGCCACAACUCGCAAUGGCUACUUGGUCCUGGCGGACAAAAGCCCUCCUCACUCUGCAAGCGUCCUCAACCCUCUGACCGGCGUCGUCAUCCGUUUCAUGGCGCCUGUGCCCCCUGAGGUGGGACACGCUGCUGUCUCCCUUGCCAGCUCUGCCCUCGGGCUCACCUUGUUUGGCGACUCAUCUCACAAGAUUUACUCGGCCUAUCCCGACAACAAGAGUUCCGUCGUCCACGAGGCUCAGCAAGCAGCUUAUGUUUUCUUCCGUAAUGCGGUCGUGGGCGGUGUCUACUCAGACACUAUAGGGCAUGCCGUGAUUGUCCGUUUAUGCAGAUCGCUGAUGCCUCCAGAUGCAAACCACCUUUGUUUUCCAGUGGCUUUGGGUAGAGAAAUGCUGCUUGUCGGGACUGCAGAGAGAUCGUUCUUUAUUUUUAAAACAGACAUCGAGUUAAGUAAGCUGGAGGAUGUGGACACCAUCAACAACUAUGCCAUUUUCAUUGGUCAUCAGAGGUGCCUGGCUGUCUAUGCUGAUAAGUUCAUAGGCAUUGAGGCAAACUGCAUCUACUACACUGAAAAUCUGGGUUCGUCCGCUCGUAUAUGCAAGUGCGGCAUCAAGGACAGAAAAGUAGAGAAGAUCUCUGAAACUGCCGAUUUCAUCAAGAAGGACAAGAAGUUUGUCCUCGUUGCUGACCGUCCUUCGACGAUCAUCGACCUUCUCGCCAGCUACACCAUCAACAUCCCGGACUCUCGGCUGGCCUUGCAACAGAUUCCAUAA